GUGAAAGGUGCUACUCAUCAUGGAAACUACAGUCUUCAGUUUAUCCACAAAAGAGGUACAGCAGUCACAGGCCAUGAAGACUUCCCCACACUGCCUCGCCAAUGUGCCUCAAUACUGCCCUGGAACAAAUUUACAGGGCUACCGUCAGUUCAGUUUUGAAGCCCAAUCAAUCUGUGGUCUAU
This 182-nucleotide small RNA is filed under the name Gopherus agassizii (Agassiz's desert tortoise). RNAcentral describes it as "TUC338 (ENSGAGG00000022092.1)". The record is from RNAcentral. Lineage: Eukaryota; Metazoa; Chordata; Testudines; Testudinidae.